RNAcentral lists this ribosomal RNA (256 nucleotides) under uncultured bacterium. RNAcentral describes it as "partial 16S ribosomal RNA". It matches the Rfam family "Bacterial small subunit ribosomal RNA", at positions 524 to 776 of the family's 1533-position model. The record is from RNAcentral.
UACGUAGGUGGCAAGCGUUGUCCGGAUUUAUUGGGUUUAAAGGGUGCGUAGGCGGCCCCCGUAAGUCAGUGCUGAAAUAUCCCGGCUUAACCGGGAGGGUGGCAUUGAUACUGCGAGGCUUGAGUAGAGUUGAGGUUGGCGGAAUUGACGGUGUAGCGGUGAAAUGCUUAGAUAUCGUCAAGAACACCGAUAGUGUAGACAGCUAACUAAGCUCAAACUGACGCUGAGGCACGAAAAGUGUGGGGGAUCAAACAGG